Molecule: transfer RNA, 71 nt
Filed under: Heterocephalus glaber (naked mole-rat)
Lineage: Eukaryota; Metazoa; Chordata; Mammalia; Rodentia; Bathyergidae
Rfam family: tRNA
About the family: Transfer RNA (tRNA) molecules are approximately 80 nucleotides in length. Their secondary structure includes four short double-helical elements and three loops (D, anti-codon, and T loops).
Source: Rfam by way of RNAcentral
AGGGGUGUAGCUCAGUGGUAGAGUGCUUGCCUAGCAUGCAGGAGUCCUGGGUUUGAUCUACAGCAUUGCAG